Molecule: ribosomal RNA, 253 nt
Filed under: uncultured bacterium
Lineage: Bacteria
Description: partial 16S ribosomal RNA
Rfam family: Bacterial small subunit ribosomal RNA
Source: RNAcentral
UACAGAGGGGGCAAGCGUUGUUCGGAAUUACUGGGCGUAAAGGGCGCGUAGGCGGGGAGGUAAGUCGGGUGUGAAAUCCCUCGGCCCAACCGAGGAACUGCGCCCGAGACUGCUUCUCUUGAGUCCCGGAGAGGAAGAUGGAAUUCCCGGUGUAGCGGUGAAAUGUGUAGAGAUCGGGAGGAACACCGGUGGCGAAGGCGGUCUUCUGGACGGUGACUGACGCUGAGGCGCGAAAGCGUGGGGAGCAAACGGG